UUUUUUUUUUUUUUUAAAUUUUUUGGGAUAGGGUCUUGCUUUGUCACCCAGGCUGGAGUGCAGUGUCACGAACAUGGCUUACUCCAGCCUCUACCUCCCAGGCUCAAGCAAUCGUCUUGCUUCAGCCCUCCAACUAGCUGAGACUAUAGGCAUGUGCCAUCACGUCUGGCUAAUUUUUGUAUUUUUUGUAGAGUUGGUGUUUGCCAUGUUGCCCAGGCUGGUCUCAAACACCUGGGCUCAAGCCAUCCGCCUGCCUCAGCCUCCCAAACUGUUGGGAUCACAGGUGUGAGCCACCACGCCUGGCCUUUCUUCCUUUCAAAGAAGGGAAACAAAAUGUCUAUAGGUGUAGUGACCCUAUGCUCCUCAAAACGCUUAGCUUGACAGCAAGUCUAUUAUAGACCCUUGACAUUUGUGCAACUGACAUGCAGUCAUUCCCAAGCCACCCAGAAGGUCCCUGACCUAUAUAUUUGUUAUUUUGCCUAGGCACAAAUCUGAGUUACUCAGCCACUACUAAGUGAACCUAGUGGAUGCAGUGGAUGCAGACAUCCCAGGACAGCUGGCUGUUCUUUCCUGGUUAUGACAGACAUAGUAACUAAUAAAAUGAUUUAAAACAUUCUUUGUAAAUAAACGCUCUGUAUUCAUGACACUGGCCCUCUCAACUGUCUAAGGAAGGACUCUCCAUGAGUGAUGUGUUUUACAUUAAAAGUAUUUAUUUGCAAUCGGGACUCUAGCCUGUGUUGGCCAUUUCUAGAAGCUGUCGAACAUAUCUUUAAAUACCGCGCCCAGAAGUGGCUUCCUUUCAUGGCAGUCUCAGUUUCUGGUUCCUAGAAGUUGCUGAUUCCAACAGCACCCGAUGACCACAAGUCAUCUGAGGGGACCUGUGGCCAAGAAUGGAUGACAACCACAAUUUAUUCGGACACCAAAGCAAGUUGCAGCCUGAAUUGCAACCACACCUUGCAAUAGCCCCAACACAUGCAACAGAAACAGAAUUUGCACUUGGUAUGUUUAUUUCCAUUGCUCUUCAAAAUGCAAACCCACACUAAAGCCCAUGCCAAAGACAGUUGGAACAAAUUGCAUCACCUGGAUUUUGGGGUUUGUAAUAGCUAGCCUAUGUUGGUGUGCAAAUUGGCCAGUUGUAUGCUAUUUUAAACCCUUCCUGCUCCCUUUCCCAUUUUGUGCCAAGGGCACACAAAGCUGCCCAGAAGGAAGGAAUUCAAUCAGCAUCAGAAGAAUGCAUUGAAGUCCUGUUUCCUAAACCCCAGGGGAGAGCUGAGUGGGAGGGAAGGACCCAGCUAGCUGAGGACAGAGUCCUUUUUAUGUGUCUGUUUCCCCAAGCCGAAUGCUGGGCCCAGCUGACAAAUGUUAGUGGGAGGAAACAAUGGAGGAGGGAGGCUGGAUGGCAGUGAGAGGCCUGGGAAGGGCCUGGGGAUGAGGAGGGGGUGGAAGCACUUCCUGAGGAUCCAUCCAGGCCCAGAGUUUUCAGCUGCCACCUCCAGAGCUCCGCCUGCCUGCUUGGCCAGGUCCAGUUGGCCCUGGCAGAAAGUCAUCACCCUGUCCUUGCCAGCACUCCAUCCCUGGCUAUAAGUCUUAUCUGGUCAAGCUGCUCUCUGUAUUGGACUCUCCAGCCAAGUAUCUGGACUGCUGGGCUGAUAGUCACCUUUUUUUCUAUGAUGUUUCUCCCUGGUCAGUCUCAGAAUUAAUACAUUUUUCCUCUGCUAGUUCCCUCUCCUCUUCUGAAAUAGCAUGGAGGUUCUGUCCACUCUAAACUCACCCAGCGUUUGGGCUUGGCUGGGCCAGAUGCCCUGCAUGCUGAUACCUUCAUGUGGUCAGCCCACGCCCUGGGUUAUUUGCCAACCUGCCUCCCAGUUUUGCACAGUGCCAUACCUCAGGUGCCCUCUCAUGCCAGCUAGUCAGAAUAGAGUGUCCUCCUAUAGGACCCAGGGAUAGGUUAGGGGUUGAAGUCCCUCACAAGGCCUCUAGGGUGUCAAGGCACAGGGCAUCUCAUGGAAGCACUGGUGUGGGAUCAAGUCCACCCUAAAAAAAGUCCU
Long non-coding RNA from Macaca fascicularis (crab-eating macaque), 2048 nucleotides. The record is from Ensembl. NCBI's taxonomy places the organism in Eukaryota, Metazoa, Chordata, Mammalia, Primates, Cercopithecidae.